Non-coding RNA from Coffea arabica (coffee), 107 nucleotides. Lineage: Eukaryota; Viridiplantae; Streptophyta; Magnoliopsida; Gentianales; Rubiaceae. The record is from RefSeq and is a predicted model, not a curated record.
AUCUGGUGUUGGGGGCACUUAUUACACAACCUCUUGAAUCGCUCCCAGUACUCAUACAGCGAUUCCCCUAGGUGCUGCUUGAUCCCACAUAUUUCUUUCCUUAGACU